Molecule: unclassified non-coding RNA, 392 nt
Filed under: Hevea brasiliensis (rubber tree)
Lineage: Eukaryota; Viridiplantae; Streptophyta; Magnoliopsida; Malpighiales; Euphorbiaceae
Source: RNAcentral
CAAAACUCCCAUAAGCAACAUAGCCACUGACAGUAGUCUCCACAUAUGAAACUUCCUCUUCGCCAACAGCCAUCCUAUCUUCACAAUCAUAGUUCCACAUCACAUAGAGGAAGGACUUACAUAGUUUGCUCAGAAAGGUCGAUCCACUGCAUGGAGUAUAGAUGUAAGGAUAGCAGGAUCCAUCAGAUUCGGCUUUAAGACUUUCAUAUCGAUAUUCAAUCAUGUCCUCCAAAAAAACCUUGGAGUUUUGUUGUCGGCGCCGAAGACGAUGGAGAUCAUUCCGGUGAGAGGAAGGGGAAAUCGAUGAAAAUAGUGCUUGUUUCGUGUUCAGGAGAAAGGGGGUAAUCAUCUGUGAAGGUUUGAGGGGAAUUGGUGUGAAUGGUUGGGGGUGG